AACCCAUGGUGAGGACACUUUCUUAAGAGAUCAUUGUACCUUUCCCAAGCUUCAUAAAGUGACUCCAUAUCUUGCUAGUAAAAAUUUGUAAUGUCACUUCUCAUCUU
Molecule: small nucleolar RNA, 107 nt
Organism: Pistacia vera
Lineage: Eukaryota; Viridiplantae; Streptophyta; Magnoliopsida; Sapindales; Anacardiaceae
Source: RefSeq, a predicted model, not a curated record